AUGAACGCUGGCGGCGUGCUUAACACAUGCAAGUCGAACGAUGAAGCCCAGCUUGCUGGGUGGAUUAGUGGCGAACGGGUGAGUAACACGUGAGUAACCUGCCCUUAACUCUGGGAUAAGCCUGGGAAACUGGGUCUAAUACCGGAUAGGAGCGUCCACCGCAUGGUGGGUGUUGGAAAGAUUUAUCGGUUUUGGAUGGACUCGCGGCCUAUCAGCUUGUUGGUGAGGUAAUGGCUCACCAAGGCGACGACGGGUAGCCGGCCUGAGAGGGUGACCGGCCACACUGGGACUGAGACACGGCCCAGACUCCUACGGGAGGCAGCAGUGGGGAAUAUUGCACAAUGGGCGCAAGCCUGAUGCAGCGACGCCGCGUGAGGGAUGACGGCCUUCGGGUUGUAAACCUCUUUCAGUAGGGAAGAAGCGAAAGUGACGGUACCUGCAGAAGAAGCACCGGCUAACUACAUG
This 465-nucleotide ribosomal RNA is filed under the name uncultured bacterium. RNAcentral's name for it is "partial 16S ribosomal RNA". It matches the Rfam family "Bacterial small subunit ribosomal RNA", at positions 29 to 507 of the family's 1533-position model. The record is from RNAcentral.